This 85-nucleotide transfer RNA is filed under the name Felis catus (domestic cat). It matches the Rfam family "tRNA". From Rfam's summary of the family: Transfer RNA (tRNA) molecules are approximately 80 nucleotides in length. Their secondary structure includes four short double-helical elements and three loops (D, anti-codon, and T loops). Lineage: Eukaryota; Metazoa; Chordata; Mammalia; Carnivora; Felidae. The record is from Rfam by way of RNAcentral.
GCCUGGGUGGCUUGGUCGGUUAAGCGUCCGACUUCGGCUCAGGUCAUGAUCUCACGGUCCGUGGGUUCAAGCCCCGCCUCAGGCU